AGUAAAAAAUCAAAAUGAUAAAGUCAUACAAAAUAGGACUACGAUAAUCUGUGCCUAGAACUAGAAAAUUCUUUGUAUUUUGCCUAAUUCAAAGUUUUUUAAACAGUGUUUAUAAAAAAAAUAUCAUUGAUAUUUCAUGCCAAUAAAGAAAUAUAAGCCAACAUUGUGCCAACAAUAUGCCAACGUAUUAGGUACUUAUCUCCCC
RNAcentral lists this long non-coding RNA (205 nucleotides) under Mytilus galloprovincialis (Mediterranean mussel). Lineage: Eukaryota; Metazoa; Mollusca; Bivalvia; Mytilida; Mytilidae. The record is from RNAcentral.